CUACCCUGGUACCUAGAGAGACCAAUACAGACAGACCAUACUACCCUGGUACCUAGAGAGACCAAUACAGAUGUACCAUAAUACUAAGGCUAACCAGAGCUGCCCGUACUACUAUGACUGAAAUAGAGUUUGUGUCACAAAUCCCACCCUUUUCCUGAUAUAGUGCCCUUCUGAACAGGGCCCAUAGGGCUUUGGUCAACAGUAGUGCACCAUGCAGGGAAUAAAGUGCAGUUUGGGACGUAAACAAAUAUAUUUUGUUUCAAAACUUCCAACUGGCAUAAAAUUCCAGUAAUAAUAGCAAUUUACUGGAUGGAAAAUCUGGUUUGAAAUACAUUACAUACUAUGAUAUAAUUAUAUGCUGAACUGCUCAGUAUGAACAACUUAAUGUUUUUUGGAAUAAUUGUAAACAGAAAAAGUACUGACUUGGCGUUUUGUCUAUGAUAGCAUUUGGUCACACGUGAGUGCUACUGUAUUAAACAGCUACGGUACAGUACAGUACAGUGACUGUUCAUUACAAAUCUGUGGUCCAAAAUCUCAGCAUAAAUCCUCUACCAAUUAUUCCAUAGCUCUGUCAGCCCUCUCACGGUUCACUUAAAGUACACUGAGCAGAAAGAACAUUCCUGUCAGAGCAUCUGUUUAGUAGAGCACUACACAUCUCUAGGUUCAGACCAGAGAGAUUUAGGUUUUGACAAGAGACACAGAUGUUGAAGGUUGUAGUAGCCUGAAGGAGGGAAGGAGAAGCGAAGGAGGGAGGGAAGAAUAGUUGGAGGGAGGGAAGAAGAGUAGGAGGGAGAGAAGAAGAGUAGGAGGGAGGGAAGAAGAGUAGUAGGGAGAGAAGAAGAGAAGGAGGGAGAGAAGAAGAGUAGGAGGGAGAGAAGAAGAGUAGGAGGGAGGGAAGAAGAGUAGGAGGGAGAGAAGAAGAGUAGGAGGGAGGGAAGAAGAGUAGGAGGGAGGGAAGAUGAGUAGGAGAGAAGUAGGAGGGGGGAAGAAAAGUAGGAGGGAGAGAAGAAGAUUAGGAGGGAAGUAGGAGGGAGAGAAGAGUAGGAGGGGAGAAGAAGAGUAGAAGGGAGCGAAGAAGAGUAGGAGGGAGAGAAGAAGAGUAGAAGGGAAGAAGAGUAGGAGGGAGGGAAGAAGUGUAGGAGGGAAGAAGAAGGGAGAGAAGAAGAGUAGUAGGGACCGAAGAAGAGGAGUAUGGGCUGAAGAAGAGUAGCAGGGAAAGGAAGAGUAGGAGGGAGGUAAGAAGAGUAGGAGGGAGGGAGGAAGAGUAGGAGGGAGGGGAGAAGAGUAGGAGGGAAGGACGAAGAAUAGGAGGGUGUGAAGAAGCAUAGGAGGGAGGGGAGAAGAGUAGGAGGGAAGGAAGAAGGGUAGGAGGGAGAGAAGAAGAGGAGGAAGGAGGGAAGAAGAGGACGAGGGAGAGAAGAAAAGUAGGAGGGAGAGAAGAAGGGUAGGAGGGAGAGAAGAAGAGGAGGCAGGAAACAUAGAGAGAGUUUGGAAAACACUGUAAAGAGGGAAAUGGUGGUGUACAUAGUGCAGAUGAACGCACGCUGUAUGACGUAAGACAAUGGGUUCUGAUGAGAGUAUUUAUUACAGUAAUUAAACCGCAGAGAGGCCUUGAUGAUGGUUAUUAAGGUAAAUACAUCACUCAGACCCAGGCCACAUCUUGGUUCUGAUGAGGACACAGUAGGGUUGUGAAUGUCUGGGAAGAACAGAGAGUCUGAGUUAAUAAGGUGCCCGUUAAUGGACCGGGGGAAAACAGUGGUUGCUAAGGUGACUGUUAAUAGAGCUCUGUAUAAACUAAUCAAUGAGCCGGGAGGAGAUCCUGUCUCUCAGUAGAUUAGAUCACACUAAUACAGUAUGUGAAUGUCUCUGUUCCUCUCUGGCUGCCUGUCCAGUCUAUGGCAUGGUCCUCUCAGUGGCAGACCAGAGGAGGAUGGCUGUGUCGAGGUUUUUCCUUGCUCUAUGUUUGCUCUUUUGGGUGUUUAAGUCUCAGACACGCAUUACAUUAAUGGAUUUAUUAUAAUAAUAGACUGUGACAGAUUGAGAUGUAUUAACUAACUGGUUUCAUCCAUGUACUUACUUCCGUAUCCCAGUCAGAGCCUCCAGUACAUCUCCUUCCAGCUGUCCCUCCAGAUCCUCCAUCACCUUCUGGACCAC
RNAcentral lists this long non-coding RNA (2154 nucleotides) under Salmo salar (Atlantic salmon). RNAcentral describes it as "lncRNA (ENSSSAG00000110605.1, ENSSSAG00000120209.1)". The record is from RNAcentral. Lineage: Eukaryota; Metazoa; Chordata; Actinopteri; Salmoniformes; Salmonidae.